RNAcentral lists this ribosomal RNA (443 nucleotides) under uncultured bacterium. RNAcentral's name for it is "partial 16S ribosomal RNA". It matches the Rfam family "Bacterial small subunit ribosomal RNA", at positions 338 to 795 of the family's 1533-position model. The record is from RNAcentral.
CCUACGGGUGGCAGCAGUGGGGAAUAUUGGGCAAUGGGCGCAAGCCUGAUCCAGCAACGCCGCGUGAAGGAAGAAGGCUUUCGGGUUGUAAACUUCUUUUCUGAGGGACGAAGAAAGUGACGGUACAUCAGGAAUAAGCCACGGCUAACUACGUGCCAGCAGCCGCGGUAAUAAGUAGGUGGCAAGCGUUAUCCGGAUUUAUUGGGCGUAAGGGCCGUGUAGGCGGUAAAGCAAGUCAGAUGUGAAAACUCAGGGCUCAACCCUGGACCUGCAUUUGAAACUGUUUUUCUUGAGUGCUGGAGAGGCAAUCGGAAUUCCGUGUGUAGCGGGGAAAUGCGUAGAUAUACGGAGGAACACCAGUGGCGAAGGCGGAUUGCUGGACUGUAACUGACGCUGAGGCGCGAAAGCGUGGGGAGCAAACAGGAUUAGAUACCCUUGUAGUC